UACGUAGGGUGCAAGCGUUAAUCGGAAUUACUGGGCGUAAAGCGUGCGCAGGCGGUUGUGCAAGACAGAUGUGAAAUCCCCGGGCUCAACCUGGGAAUUGCAUUUGUGACUGCACGGCUAGAGUGUGUCAGAGGGGGUAGAAUUCCACGUGUGAGCAGUGAAAUGCGUAGAGAUGUGGAGGAAUACCGAUGGCGAAGGCAGCCCCCUGGGAUAACACUGACGCUCAUGCACGAAAGCGUGGGAGCAAACAGGAU
Molecule: ribosomal RNA, 254 nt
Filed under: uncultured bacterium
Lineage: Bacteria
Description: partial 16S ribosomal RNA
Rfam family: Bacterial small subunit ribosomal RNA
Source: RNAcentral